This 301-nucleotide ribosomal RNA is filed under the name uncultured bacterium. RNAcentral describes it as "partial 16S ribosomal RNA". It matches the Rfam family "Bacterial small subunit ribosomal RNA", at positions 509 to 807 of the family's 1533-position model. The record is from RNAcentral.
CAGUAGCCGCGGGAAUACGUAGGUGGCAAGCGUUGUCCGGAAUUAUUGGGCGUAAAGGGCUCGCAGGCGGUUUCUUAAGUCUGAUGUGAAAGCCCCCGGCUCAACCGGGGAGGGUCAUUGGAAACUGGGAAACUUGAGUGCAGAAGAGGAGAGUGGAAUUCCACGUGUAGCGGUGAAAUGCGUAGAGAUGUGGAGGAACACCAGUGGCGAAGGCGACUCUCUAGUCUGUAACUGACGCUGAGGAGCGAAAGCGUGGGGAGCGAACAGGAUUAGAUACCCGCGUAGUCCCUGUCUCUUAUAC